Molecule: ribosomal RNA, 588 nt
Filed under: Pandaka lidwilli (Lidwill's dwarfgoby)
Lineage: Eukaryota; Metazoa; Chordata; Actinopteri; Gobiiformes; Gobiidae
Description: partial 12S rRNA
Rfam family: Bacterial small subunit ribosomal RNA
Source: RNAcentral
GCGGCCCAAGUUGAUAACACACCGGCAUAAAAAGUGGCCAAAAUAAUACUACUAGAGCCAAACAUUUUCAGAGCAGUUAUAAGCUUAUGAAGACAGGAAGCCCCAUCACGAAGGUAGCUCUAAUUUACUUUACCACGAAAGCUAGGACACAAACUGGGAUUAGAUACCCCACUAUGCCUAGCCCUAAACAGAAGUAGCCUGUUAUUUGUCUACUUGCCAGGAGACUACGAGCCCUGCUUAAAACCCAAAGGACUUGGCGGUGCUUUAGACCCCCCUAGAGGAGCCUGUUCUAGAACCGAUAACCCCCGUUAAACCUCACCCUCCCUUGCUUUUUCCGCCUAUAUACCACCGUCGUCAGCCCACCCUGUGAAGGCCUAACAGUGGGCAGAAAUGGCACAGCCCAAAACGUCAGGUCGAGGUGUAGCACACGGGAGGGGAAGAAAUGGGCUACAUUUACUGAAACAGUAAAUACGGACAAUACUUUGAAACAAGUAAAUGAAGGAGGAUUUAGCAGUAAGAAAAAACUAGAGUGUUUUGCUGAAACUGGCCCUAAAGCGCGCACACACCGCCCGUCACUCUCUCCAACAA